CCUACGGGGGGCUGCAGUGGGGAAUUUUGGACAAUGGGGGCAACCCUGAUCCAGCCAUGCCGCGUGAGUGAAGAAGGCCUUCGGGUUGUAAAGCUCUUUCGGCCGGGAAGAAAUCGCUCAAGCUAAUACCUUGGGUGGAUGACGGUACCGGAAGAAGAAGCACCGGCUAACUACGUGCCAGCAGCCUCGGUAAUACGUAGGGUGGGAGCGUUAAUCGGAAUUACUGAGCCGGAACCAUACGCAGGCGGCGAAAUCCCCGGGCUUAACCUGGGAACUGCGUUUGUGACUGUGGUGCUCGAGUGCGGCAGAGGGUGGUGGAAUUCCACGUGUAGCAGUGAAAUGCGUAGAGAUGUGGAGGAACACCGAUGGCGAAGGCAGCCCCCUGGGUCGACACUGACGCUCAUGCACGAAAGCGUGGGGAGCAAACAGGAUUAGAUACCCGGGUAGUC
Molecule: ribosomal RNA, 449 nt
Filed under: uncultured bacterium
Lineage: Bacteria
Description: partial 16S ribosomal RNA
Rfam family: Bacterial small subunit ribosomal RNA
Source: RNAcentral